UGCCUGGGGAGCAGGAAGGCAAGUCUCAGUUUCUGGACCAACUAGUUGUAGCUGUUGUACUGUGGGUGCUUGAUCAUCUUGGCGCCAUCAAUCCACUGCUCGGUGCCCUCAUUCACAGCGAUGUUGUGCUCACCAAGACGGACCUGGAUACGACUGGUGGAGGCAAUGAAAGUUAAAAAACCUGAUAAGACUGUUGCAAAACUGCAGCAGCAACACAGGAGAAAAUGCAGCGUAAGAGAAAGAUGACUGUGUCCCCCAACCUGAGGUUCAGGAGCCCCUCAACGGGACAUAAGAUAAAUCUCAGGGACAUAUGCAGCCUUGAUGAGUAAGCAUUGCUCAGAUAUAAAAGUGAGGACAGAGCGAAUGACGGUACCAGCGUACUCUAUCACCAUCUCUCCCGCCUCGAUGUUCCUCUUACAGAAAAGUCCACGCCCAUGAAUUUGAGAUCUAAAAGAAUCAAGAUUUCAGCUCGGGCACUGCCACUCGGGUUGAGGGGAAGCUCUUCCUCGAUGUCAUCACACCGGUGGAAGCGGAAGCGGUGCUGUUUGCAGUUUGCGGCCCCCUGCAGCUGCUCCAGCAGGAAGAUAACG
This is a long non-coding RNA of Seriola aureovittata, 590 nucleotides long. RefSeq lists it as uncharacterized. The transcript is spliced from 5 exons. NCBI's taxonomy places the organism in Eukaryota, Metazoa, Chordata, Actinopteri, Carangiformes, Carangidae. The record is from RefSeq and is a predicted model, not a curated record.